GCCCCUCUGGCCCAACUGGCAGAGGCGUCGGCUUCAGGUGCCGAAGGUUCCCGGUUCGAAUCCGGGGAGGGGUACAA
This 77-nucleotide transfer RNA is filed under the name Mycobacteroides abscessus. RNAcentral describes it as "tRNA-Leu". It matches the Rfam family "tRNA". From Rfam's summary of the family: Transfer RNA (tRNA) molecules are approximately 80 nucleotides in length. Their secondary structure includes four short double-helical elements and three loops (D, anti-codon, and T loops). Lineage: Bacteria; Bacillati; Actinomycetota; Actinomycetes; Mycobacteriales; Mycobacteriaceae. The record is from RNAcentral. RNAcentral also lists the same sequence under 20 other names.